CGGGGCAUGGCGCAGUCCGGUAGCGCGCGUCGUUCGGGACGACGAGGUCGCCGGUUCAAAUCCGGCUGCCCCGACCC
RNAcentral lists this transfer RNA (77 nucleotides) under Salinibacter ruber DSM 13855. Its description in RNAcentral is "tRNA-Pro-CGG-1-1". It matches the Rfam family "tRNA". Rfam says of the family: Transfer RNA (tRNA) molecules are approximately 80 nucleotides in length. Their secondary structure includes four short double-helical elements and three loops (D, anti-codon, and T loops). Lineage: Bacteria; Pseudomonadati; Rhodothermota; Rhodothermia; Rhodothermales; Salinibacteraceae. The record is from RNAcentral. RNAcentral also lists the same sequence under 5 other names.